GACGAACGCUGGCGGCGUGCUUAACACAUGCAAGUCGAACGAUGACGACCGAGCUUGCUCGGUCUGAUUAGUGGCGAACGGGUGAGUAACACGUGAGCAACCUGCCCUUCACUCUGGGAUAACCUCGGGAAAUCGGGGCUAAUACCGGAUAUGAGCUCCUGCCGCAUGGCGGGUGUUGGAAAGUUUUUCGGCGAAGGAUGGGCUCGCGGCCUAUCAGUUUGUUGGUGGGGUAGUGGCUCACCAAGGCGAUGACGGGUUGCCGGCCUGAGAGGGCGACCGGCCACACUGGGACUGGGACACGGCCCAGACUCCUACGGGAGGCAGCAGUGGGGAAUAUUGCACAAUGGGCGAAAGCCUGAUGCAGCGACGCCGCGGGAGGGAUGACGGCCUUCGGGUUGUAAACCUCUUUCAGCAGGGAAGAAGCGAAAGUGACGGUACCUGCAGAAGAAGCGCCGGCUAACUACGGGC
RNAcentral lists this ribosomal RNA (468 nucleotides) under uncultured bacterium. RNAcentral's name for it is "partial 16S ribosomal RNA". It matches the Rfam family "Bacterial small subunit ribosomal RNA", at positions 28 to 508 of the family's 1533-position model. The record is from RNAcentral.